Molecule: ribosomal RNA, 511 nt
Filed under: Mycobacterium shimoidei
Lineage: Bacteria; Bacillati; Actinomycetota; Actinomycetes; Mycobacteriales; Mycobacteriaceae
Description: bacterial SSU rRNA
Rfam family: Bacterial small subunit ribosomal RNA
Source: RNAcentral
GACGAACGCUGGCGGCGUGCUUAACACAUGCAAGUCGAACGGAAAGGCCCCUUUCGGGGGGUACUCGAGUGGCGAACGGGUGAGUAACACGUGGGUGAUCUGCCCUGCACUUCGGGAUAAGCUUGGGAAACUGGGUCUAAUACCGGAUAGGACCACAUGUCGCAUGGUGUGUGGUGGAAAGCUUUUGCGGUGUGGGAUGGGCCCGCGGCCUAUCAGCUUGUUGGUGGGGUGAUGGCCUACCAAGGCGACGACGGGUAGCCGGCCUGAGAGGGUGUCCGGCCACACUGGGACUGAGAUACGGCCCAGACUCCUACGGGAGGCAGCAGUGGGGAAUAUUGCACAAUGGGCGCAAGCCUGAUGCAGCGACGCCGCGUGGGGGAUGACGGCCUUCGGGUUGUAAACCUCUUUCACCAUCGACGAAGCUGCGGGUUUUCUCGUGGUGACGGUAGGUGGAGAAGAAGCACCGGCCAACUACGUGCCAGCAGCCGCGGUAAUACGUAGGGUGCGAGCG